Molecule: ribosomal RNA, 253 nt
Filed under: uncultured bacterium
Lineage: Bacteria
Description: partial 16S ribosomal RNA
Rfam family: Bacterial small subunit ribosomal RNA
Source: RNAcentral
UACAGGGGUGGCAAGCGUUGUUCGGAAUUACUGGGCGUAAAGGGCGCGUAGGCGGCCUUCUAAGUCAGACGUGAAAUCCCCAGGCUUAACUUGGGAACUGCGUCUGAUACUGGGAGGCUUGAGUGCGGGAGAGGGAUGUGGAAUUCCAGGUGUAGCGGUGAAAUGCGUAGAUAUCUGGAGGAACACCGGUGGCGAAGGCGGCAUCCUGGACCGACACUGACGCUGAGGCGCGAAAGCUAGGGGAGCAAACGGG